RNAcentral lists this ribosomal RNA (271 nucleotides) under uncultured prokaryote. RNAcentral describes it as "partial 16S ribosomal RNA". It matches the Rfam family "Bacterial small subunit ribosomal RNA", at positions 524 to 794 of the family's 1533-position model. The record is from RNAcentral.
UACGUAGGUGGCGAGCGUUAUCCGGAAUUAUUGGGCGUAAAGAGCGCGCAGGUGGUUGAUUAAGUCUGAUGUGAAAGCCCACGGCUUAACCGUGGAGGGUCAUUGGAAACUGGUCGACUUGAGUGCAGAAGAGGGAAGUGGAAUUCCAUGUGUAGCGGUGAAAUGCGUAGAGAUUGGGAGGAACACCAGUGGCGAAGGCGGCUUUCUGGACGAUAACUGACGCUGAGGCGCGAAAGCGUGGGUAGCAAACAGGAUUAGAUACCCCGGUAGU